This 239-nucleotide unclassified non-coding RNA is filed under the name Hevea brasiliensis (rubber tree). Lineage: Eukaryota; Viridiplantae; Streptophyta; Magnoliopsida; Malpighiales; Euphorbiaceae. The record is from RNAcentral.
AAAGAUCUCAUUGUAUUAUUGAAUGUAUCUAUUGACAUAAAUAAAACUAACUAUAAAUCAGGAUGCAAGGAUGUGAUUCUGCACAUCCACGAGUUAACUAACCGUUCACCUGUGACGGAAUUUUGGGCGAACAGAAAUUACACCUGGCCUUGCUUCAUCAAAGUGAUAUCUGUUUUCACUAAGGAAACUUCUCACUGCUGUUGGGAGUGCAGCUUGACCUCGACUGUGAUUGCCUACAC